This 422-nucleotide ribosomal RNA is filed under the name bacterium. RNAcentral's name for it is "partial 16S ribosomal RNA". It matches the Rfam family "Bacterial small subunit ribosomal RNA", at positions 355 to 776 of the family's 1533-position model. The record is from RNAcentral.
UGGGGGAUAUUGCACAAUGGGCGCAAGCCUGAUGCAGCGACGCCGCGUGAGGGAUGAAGGCCUUCGGGUUGUAAACCUUUUUCGCUCAUGGUCAAGCCGCAGCUUUGGGUUGUGGUGAGGGUAGUGGGUAAAGAAGCGCCGGCUAACUACGUGCCAGCAGCCGCGGUAAUACGUAGGGCGCGAGCGUUGUCCGGAAUUAUUGGGCGUAAAGGGCUUGUAGGCGGUUGGCCGCGUCUGCCGUGAAAUCCUCUGGCUUAACUGGGGGCGUGCGGUGGGUACGGGUUGACUUGAGUGCGGUAGGGGAGACUGGAAUUCCUGGUGUAGCGGUGGAAUGCGCAGAUAUCAGGAGGAACACCGGUGGCGAAGGCGGGUCUCUGGGCCGUUACUGACGCUGAGGAGCGAAAGCGUGGGGAGCGAACAGG